Apis dorsata (giant honeybee) is the source of this 1867-nucleotide long non-coding RNA. RefSeq lists it as uncharacterized. The transcript has 2 exons. The record is from RefSeq and is a predicted model, not a curated record. Lineage: Eukaryota; Metazoa; Arthropoda; Insecta; Hymenoptera; Apidae.
AUAUUAAAUUAAACUAACACUUAUUAAAAUGUUAUAAUACAGAAAAUAAAUAUUAUGUCGCACAAUUAUUUAUAUCACAAAAUUUAAUACAAGCUUGAUAGAAGAAACAACAUGGAGAAAAAUAUCGCAACGCGAAUCAAGACUCGUUACUUUUGGUAGAGGUUACACUUCGAAAAUGAUACCGGCGUACAAUAUACUAGGUAAUAAAAAUCGCAUGUUAUUAAGACACAAUUUAUUAUACAGAAGGAAACUUAGAAUAGAGAAAGACUAAUAAGAAAAAAAGAAAAACAAAGGACGUGCAAGGGAGAAAGAAGUAGGUUCAAUAGGAAAUGAAAAGAGAAAGAAUGAGAAUGAAAAAGACAGUACAGGAGAGAAAGAGAGAGAAGUGACACCUUCCAGGAUAGCCUAUGGUGGAGCCCCAUAGUCGUAUUUGCUAUUUGAGCUAAUAGACAGUAUGUCAACCAUAGGCACGGUUUCGCGCACAAUUUGUAUGUAAAUGUCAAUAGCACAGUAUGAACAAAAUGUGCAAUAUAUGUUUAGAGCUAGAGGAAUCACGACAAAAUGGAGGACCCUAACAGAGGGGAACGACGGAAGGGCAGGGAGUUACGGAGCUAUAGAAGAGGUAAGAGGAAAGGCGAUGGAAAAUGGAGAGGGGGUGGAAGUAGAGAAACAGAGAGAAUGGGAGAUAGAGAAGGGGGGUAGGACGUAAGAACUCGAUGGCAGAGGAGUGGUUAGAUUGGGAACCACGGACGCGCUCCGCAAGGGGGCAGUUUUACUCACUGUUUCACAUCUGAACUCUGGUCAGGUCGGAUAGUUAACUGGCUUUCCUAUCGUACAUAGUUUUCUAUAUACGCACCAAAUGCAACCGCUGUGCAAACUGCUUUCAAUGAACAACAAAGAUAAUCACGACGACACACUACGUCAUUCGAUUUGUGACGUCGAUUCUCCGAUAAAUUACGCACUCUUAUUAUUAUUAUCAGCGGCGUGUCAGCCACGUUUACUCCGCGCGCGGUUAAGAACCCGGAUUAAUGAAAAUUGAUAUUUAAGUCAAAACGAAUAAUGAAUUACAAAAGCAAGAGGAUUUUGUAGCUUACGAAUGAUUCGUUUCACUUUCUUGCAUUUUACUGAACAUGUCAGCAAUUCAACAAAGAAUAGGAAACUUCCUUAUCGAUGGAUCAAUGUCUGUGCCCGGAACUGGGCUAGAGGGCCGGGGAAUCGUUUCUCCGGCAGCGAUUUGCUUUAAGUAAGCUUUGCUAUGUGCGCUUGCGUUAGUGUGCGUAGGCAAGGAGGUUACAUGGGAAGUAGUAACAUAUACGAACCCAGUGAAUCGGGACAUGCGGAUUUUACAGAACACUCCUCUAUUCCUCACGACUUGAUCCUUUUAUGACCAUAAUCAUAAAGUGAUAUUACACGAUCCAAACGGCACACGUAAGCUAUCCUUUUGAACACUCACGAACUUGGUUCACUUCGUAUCUUCUUCAACUAUGCAGUUCCACUUGUAAAAGCGGCGUGCAGUUAGCGCGCCGGGUAAACAGCAACAGCACCAGCAGCAUCGAGUGCCGUCAAUGGCCACGAUAAACGGCAUUACGCGUACGUUACACGGGCCACGAGCGAGCCAAAAACCCGGCGUAGUCUCGCCUAAUCGAAACGGAACUGGAACUGUCCGACUACCGUACUGUUCGCAUACUACUACCUAGCGAAGGUUUUCUUUCUCUCUUUCUUAGGUGCUCUCACACUCCCUCUUUCCUUGCCUCUCUUCUCCUCUCCUAUGUACAGCAAAUGAGCAACGCGCGAGAUUCCGAGAUGCGGCAAAAGGUGCAACCUCCACCUCCCCGCGACGGCGCUACUGCCCAACGAUCACAACAGA